UACGGAGGAUCCAAGCGUUAUCCGGAUUCAUUGGGUUUAAAGGGUGCGUAGGCGGCUAAUUAAGUCAGUGGUGAAAUCUCGGAGCUUAACUCUGAAACUGCCAUUGAUACUGAUUGGCUUGAAUAUGGUUGAGGUAGGCGGAAUGCGACAUGUAGCGGUGAAAUGCUUAGAUAUGUCACAGAACACCGAUUGCGAAGGCAGCUUACUAAGCCAUUAUUGACGCUGAGGCACGAAAGCGUGGGGAGCAAACAGG
RNAcentral lists this unclassified non-coding RNA (253 nucleotides) under uncultured Marinifilaceae bacterium. Its description in RNAcentral is "contains 16S-23S intergenic spacer region". It matches the Rfam family "Bacterial small subunit ribosomal RNA", at positions 524 to 776 of the family's 1533-position model. Lineage: Bacteria; Pseudomonadati; Bacteroidota; Bacteroidia; Marinilabiliales; Marinifilaceae. The record is from RNAcentral.